Molecule: ribosomal RNA, 253 nt
Filed under: uncultured bacterium
Lineage: Bacteria
Description: partial 16S ribosomal RNA
Rfam family: Bacterial small subunit ribosomal RNA
Source: RNAcentral
UACGUAGGGGGCAAGCGUUAUCCAGAUUUACUGGGCGUAAAGCGUACGCAGGCGGCUGGGUAAGACAGGUGUGAAAUCCCCGGGCUUAACCUGGGAACUGCAUUUGUGACUGCCCGGCUAGAGUCCGUUAGAGGGGGGUGGAAUUCCACGUGUAGCAGUGAAAUGCGUAGAGAUGUGGAGGAACACCGAUGGCGAAGGCAGCCCCCUGGGACAGGACUGACGCUCAUGUACGAAAGCGUGGGGAGCAAACAGG